RNAcentral lists this ribosomal RNA (634 nucleotides) under uncultured Pseudomonas sp. RNAcentral's name for it is "bacterial SSU rRNA". It matches the Rfam family "Bacterial small subunit ribosomal RNA", at positions 100 to 729 of the family's 1533-position model. Lineage: Bacteria; Pseudomonadati; Pseudomonadota; Gammaproteobacteria; Pseudomonadales; Pseudomonadaceae. The record is from RNAcentral.
GACGGGUGAGUAAUACUUAGGAAUCGGCCCAUUAGUGGGGGACAACAUUCCGAAACGGAUGCUAAUACCGCAUACGCCCUACGGGGGAAAGCGGGGGAUCUUCGGACCUCGCGCUAAUGGAUGAGCCUAAGUCGGAUUACGUUGUUGGUGAGGUAAUGGCUCACCAAGGCGACGAUCCGUAGUUGGUCUGAGAGGACGAUCAGCCACACUGGGACUGAGACACGGCCCAGACUCCUACGGGAGGCAGCAUUGGGGAAUAUUGGACAAUGGGCGCAAGCCUGAUCCAGCAAUGCCGCGCGUGUGAAGAAGGCCUGCGGGUUGUAUAUCACUUUCAGUUGAAAACAAAAGCCUACGGUUAAGUAACCGUGAGUCUUGACGUAACCUACNGAAGAAGCACCGGCUAACUCCGUGCCAGCAGCCGCUGUAGUACUGAGGGUGCAAGCGUUAUUCGAAAUUACUGCCCCCCCAAGCACGCGUAUGCGUGUUUGUCAGCCGGAUGUGAAAGCACCGGGCAUAACCUGGGAAUUGCAUUCAUACUGCAGAUCUAGAGUACGGUAGAGUCAAGUGGAAUUCCGGGUGUUGUCGGUGAAAUGCGUAAUAUUCCGGAUGAACGCCCCUGUCGUAGUCGACCUUC